AAGAGGUCCUGGGUUCGAACCAGCCUCUCUGCAUUGCACUUUGCAGGGGUAAGACUAGGUUCCUAUAAUCCCUCCCCAGACCCCACCUUGUGUGGGAGCUUCUAUGCACUGGGUCUGUCCUUUUUUUCAGUUUUCAGCUCCUAGAUGAGAAGGCAAGGAUGUACUUGAGCAAUAUGAGAAGACCCAGUUCCAUUAUCUCAGAAGCCAGAAGUCUCCCAUUUACUGACUUUGGUACUAUUUUUUUAAAGAAUGGUCAAUCCGCUAUCAGCACCACGAUUAUGUGUCAAUUGUAGAUUCUUAAUUGCUUAGAAUUAUUUUAUUUGUUUGAUUCCUUCUGUUGAUAUUUAUUCAACAACAAAAUAUUUUCAAGAUUGGUCGGUGUGAGGAUCAAACAUGUGAAUGGAUGUGGCAUCAAGCUAAGUCUGUUGAUACCUUGCUCACCUUUUUUUGCUUUGAGUGGGUUAUGACUUACUUUCUGAUUGUUGUUUGUGAGAAAAUACCACCUCUGUUUGUCUCUCUGAAUUAUCAUUGGUCAUUGCGACAAGGGUGAUUCAGAGUUGUAGGUUGUAUGACUGGUCUAAUAUGGCAGGUCCCACAAAGAAAACAUACAAGGGAGUUGUUUAGUUCAGAUGUGCACGGGAAUGGGCUCACUGGGAUCUUGGUAGGAGGUGAAUCUUGUGGUCAUGAGCCUGGACAUCACGCUGGUGCGCUUCCUAGGGAGGUGCGUCCGUGCGCUGUGCUUGGAUGGCGAAUCGAGAUGAGGCUUAGUGGCUGCUCGCCUCUCUGAAUCACGGAUACGAAAUUUGGUGGUUGUUCACCUAAUGGAGAUCGAAAAUGGCGUCGAGUUAUUUUAUGGGCUAAUUGUUGUGAGUGCCAACGAUUUCGUUUUGACCAUAUAGGACCAGCCUAUGUCAUUGCCGGUAGCAACGAUAUAACAACCUAAACGUCGGUGAUACCAAAUACUCAUCUGUUCCUAAAUAUACGUCUUUUUAGACAUUUCAAAUAAAUUACAACA
Long non-coding RNA from Triticum dicoccoides, 1015 nucleotides. RefSeq lists it as uncharacterized. The transcript has 2 exons. The record is from RefSeq and is a predicted model, not a curated record. Lineage: Eukaryota; Viridiplantae; Streptophyta; Magnoliopsida; Poales; Poaceae.